UUUUUUCUUCAAUUUUUUUUCCCGCAUUAAUUUCCCCCCCCUCUCCCCCAUAAAAGUUGUGGUCAUCGGAGCACUGGCCGGCGGCUUUGGAGGCUUUAUGUGGUACAAGAAAAACAGCAAAAAGGGAAAGGGCACUCGAAGAGGCAAUACUGACAAAGAUGCUACAAAUGUUGGAGAGGAAGUACUGUAGCACUCUCGUAAGCAUGACAGCCUGGAUAUUCCACAACUACUUGCUGUGAAAACCGCUUCCUAAGAAGAAUGCCAAAGGACCAGUCUUUGAAUCUACAUGCCCU
Pundamilia nyererei is the source of this 293-nucleotide long non-coding RNA. RefSeq lists it as uncharacterized. The record is from RefSeq and is a predicted model, not a curated record. The transcript has 3 exons. NCBI's taxonomy places the organism in Eukaryota, Metazoa, Chordata, Actinopteri, Cichliformes, Cichlidae.